AUAUUGCACAAUGGGGGAAACCCUGAUGCAGCGACGCCGCGUGAGUGAAGAAGUAUUUCGGUAUGUAAAGCUCUAUCAGCAGGGAAGAAAAUGACGGUACCUGACUAAGAAGCCCCGGCUAACUACGUUCCAGCAGCCGCGGUAAUACGUAGGGGGCGAGCGUUAUCCGGAUUUACUGGGUGUAAAGGGAGCGUAGGUGGCGAGUCGAGUGAGAUGUGAAAGCCCGGGGCUCAACCCCGGGAUUGCAUUUGGAACUGGUUUGCUAGAGUGCAUGAGAGGUAAGUGGAAUUCCUAGUGUAGCGGUGAGAUGCGUAGAUAUUAGGAGGAACACCAGUGGCGAAGGCGGCUUACUGGACUGUAACUGACACUGAGGCUCGAAAGCGUGGGGGGCAAACA
RNAcentral lists this ribosomal RNA (396 nucleotides) under uncultured bacterium. RNAcentral's name for it is "partial 16S ribosomal RNA". It matches the Rfam family "Bacterial small subunit ribosomal RNA", at positions 361 to 774 of the family's 1533-position model. The record is from RNAcentral.